UACGUAGGUGGCAAGCGUUGUUCGGAAUUAUUGGGCGUAAAGGGCGCGUAGGCGGUCUUGUAAGUCAGCUGUGAAAGCCCGGGGCUCAACCCCGGAGGGUCGGCUGAUACUGCAGGACUGGAGUACGGAAGAGGUAGCUGGAAUUCCCGGUGUAGCGGUGAAAUGCGUAGAUAUUGGGUGGAACACCGGUGGCGAAAGCGGCCCCCUGGCCCGGUCCUGACGCUGAGGCGCGAAAGCGUGGGGAGCAAACAGG
RNAcentral lists this ribosomal RNA (253 nucleotides) under uncultured bacterium. RNAcentral's name for it is "partial 16S ribosomal RNA". It matches the Rfam family "Bacterial small subunit ribosomal RNA", at positions 524 to 776 of the family's 1533-position model. The record is from RNAcentral.